This 339-nucleotide ribosomal RNA is filed under the name Citrobacter koseri. Its description in RNAcentral is "bacterial LSU rRNA". It matches the Rfam family "Bacterial large subunit ribosomal RNA", at positions 451 to 792 of the family's 2925-position model. The record is from RNAcentral. Lineage: Bacteria; Pseudomonadati; Pseudomonadota; Gammaproteobacteria; Enterobacterales; Enterobacteriaceae.
GACCAUCCUCCAAGGCUAAAUACUCCUGACUGACCGAUAGUGAACCAGUACCGUGAGGGAAAGGCGAAAAGAACCCCGGCGAGGGGAGUGAAAAAGAACCUGAAACCGUGUACGUACAAGCAGUGGGAGCCUCUUUUAUGGGGUGACUGCGUACCUUUUGUAUAAUGGGUCAGCGACUUAUAUUCUGUAGCAAGGUUAACCGUAUAGGGGAGCCGAAGGGAAACCGAGUCUUAACUGGGCGUUAAGUUGCAGGGUAUAGACCCGAAACCCGGUGAUCUAGCCAUGGGCAGGUUGAAGGUUGGGUAACACUAACUGGAGGACCGAACCGACUAAUGUUGA